CUUUAAUAACAAACCAUGAAAGACUGGAUGAAUUUUUGAGGCAGUAAGAAGUGCUAACUGAUAAGCCACUGUCCCUAUUUUCUUGAUAAUCUGAUUGGGACCAAAAUACUUUGCACCCAGUUUAUGAUUUUGCCUAUUUUCCAAAGAUUGUUUCUUGUAGGUGUGGAGCUUCAGGAACACCCAUUCUCUUACUUCAAAUGACCUCUCAGUCCUCUUUUUAUCAACAAAGAGUUUCAUCCUGGCAGUUGUCUUUGAGAGUUUUUCUUUCAGUUGCUGGUUUAAUUUAUACCUUUAUUGUAGCCAUUCUUUCACUGAUGCCACAUUGGAUUGCUAAUGUGGAUCCAAGGAGAUCUGUAGUAGUUUGAUUCCAUAAAGCUUCAAAAGGAGUCAUCCUAAUGGAGGAGUGAAGGUGGUAUUGUACCACCAUUCAACAAGAGAUAGCCAUUUUCCCCACUAUUUGGGCUGUUGAUGUGUCAUACACCUUAAGUAAAUCUCUACACAUUGAUUUGACCUCUCAGUUUGCCCAUUUGACUGAAGAUAAUAGGCUGAGCUCAAGUGGAGUUGUGUACCCAUCAAUUUAAAUAAUUCUUGCUAGAAUCUGUUUGUGAAUACUUUGUCUCUAUCAAAGAUAAUGCUGUGUGGCAACCUAUGAAGUUUAAAAACAGUAUCAAAGAAGAUCUUAGCAACUGUGAUUGUUGUGAAUGGGUGAGAAAUAGAAAUGAAGUGUCCGUACUUUGUGAAUCUAUCUACCAUCACCAAAAGUGUCUUUCCCUCCUGAGUUAGGUAAACCUUCAAUGAAGUCCAUGCUUAUGUGACUCCAAGCAUGUAAUGGAACGCGUGCAGCAAUCCAGGAUAAGGAGUUUGUUCUCCCUUAAACUUUUGGCAAAUCUCACACUGCAUUAACUCAUUUCAAAUGUCCUGGUUUAUCCCUGCCCAGUAAAAGUGUUGUUUGGCUCUAUAUAUACUGCUGUGAAUGCGUGAGUGUCCCCCUUCUUGAGAUCCAUGGAUAUUCUGAAUCACCUUUGAUCUAAUUUUCCCACCCUUGCCAAUUUAGAUUCUGUUUUAAUACUUCAAAACACCAUUGUUGUACUUAAAGUUUGGAUCAAAGCUAGGAUUCAGUAGUAAGGUCUGUAUUUUAUCCUCAGCCAUCGUAUCCUCCUUAUAGCUUUUCGUUACUUCUUGGAUCCAUGUAGGAAUCAUCAUGGUAACCCCAGAACAUUCCACCUCUCUUUCAUGCCUUCUCGAUAAGGCAUCGGCCACAGAAUUAUCAACUCCCCUUUUAUAAAUUAUCUCAUAACUUAGUCUUAAUAGCUUGGUGAGCAAUUUCUGUUGGAGGGGAGUAUUGAUUCUUUGUUCCAACAAAUAUUUGAGAGACUAAUGGUCUGUCUUGAUGAUAAAAUGGUUGCCCUCUGGAUAGUGCCUCCUUUUACUAGUGGCUGUUACCAGUGCUAGCAAUUCUUUCUCAUAAAUCGACAUUCCCAUAUUUCUAAUCCCAAUAGCCUUGCUCAAAUAAGCCAGUGAUUUCUUGUCUUGCAUCAACAUAGCCCCAACCCCUCCUUGAAAGGCAUCGGUUUCAAUAAUAAAUGGUUUAUGAAAAUCAGGUAAGGCCAACACAGGUGUGGAACGCAUAGAUUGUUUCAACUGAUCAAAGGCUGCACUUGCAUCUUCUGUCCAUGGAAAUUGUCUUUCUUAAGCAUGUCUGUCAGUGGUUUUGCUAUUACUCCAUAACCUCUAACAAAUUUUCUGUAGUAACCAGUCCACCCAAGGAAGCCUGUCAAUUGUUUGAUGUUUUCGGCUUAGGCUAAAGCUGUAUAGCUUCUACCUUGCUGGGAUCUGCUAAGAUGCCUUUAUGGCUGAUAAUAUUAUCAGUAGGGAUCUAAUUAUGGAUUACCCCUUUCCUCUCUCUUUUCCCUUUCUUAGUAAAGCGUGAUUUUGUAAUUGUG
This 1943-nucleotide long non-coding RNA is filed under the name Olea europaea subsp. europaea. Lineage: Eukaryota; Viridiplantae; Streptophyta; Magnoliopsida; Lamiales; Oleaceae. The record is from RNAcentral.